CCUACGGGCGGCUGCAGUGGGGAAUAUUGCACAAUGGGCGCAAGCCUGAUGCAGCCAUGCCGCGUAUGUGAAGAAGGCCUUCGGGUUGUAAAGCACUUUCAGCGGGGAGGAAGGCGGUGAGGUUAAUAACCUCAUCGAUUGACGUUACCCGCAGAAGAAGCACCGGCUAACUCCGUGCCAGCAGCCGCGGUAAUACGGAGGGUGCAAGCGUUAAUCGGAAUUACUGGGCGUAAAGCGCACGCAGGCGGUCUGUCAAGUCGGAUGUGAAAUCCCCGGGCUCAACCUGGGAACUGCAUUCGAAACUGGCAGGCUAGAGUCUUGUAGAGGGGGGUAGAAUUCCAGGUGUAGCGGUGAAAUGCGUAGAGAUCUGGAGGAAUACCGGUGGCGAAGGCGGCCCCCUGGACAAAGACUGACGCUCAGGUGCGAAAGCGUGGGGAGCAAACAGGAUUAGAUACCCCUGUAGUC
This 465-nucleotide ribosomal RNA is filed under the name uncultured Klebsiella sp. RNAcentral describes it as "bacterial SSU rRNA". It matches the Rfam family "Bacterial small subunit ribosomal RNA", at positions 338 to 795 of the family's 1533-position model. Lineage: Bacteria; Pseudomonadati; Pseudomonadota; Gammaproteobacteria; Enterobacterales; Enterobacteriaceae. The record is from RNAcentral.